Molecule: ribosomal RNA, 484 nt
Filed under: uncultured bacterium
Lineage: Bacteria
Description: partial 16S ribosomal RNA
Rfam family: Bacterial small subunit ribosomal RNA
Source: RNAcentral
AUUGAGCGCUGGCGGCAGGCCUAACACAUGCAAGUCGAGCGGAUGAAGGGAGCUUGCUCCUGGAUUCAGCGGCGGACGGGUGAGUAAUGCCUAGGAAUCUGCCUGGUAGUGGGGGAUAACGUCCGGAAACGGGCGCUAAUACCGCAUACGUCCUGAGGGAGAAAGUGGGGGAUCUUCGGACCUCACGCUAUCAGAUGAGCCUAGGUCGGAUUAGCUAGUUGGUGGGGUAAAGGCCUACCAAGGCGACGAUCCGUAACUGGUCUGAGGGGAUGAUCGGUCACACUGGAACUGAGACACGGUCCAGACUCCUACGGGAGGCAGCAGUGGGGAAUAUUGGUCAAUGGGCGAAAGCCUGAUCCAGCCAUGCCGCGUGUGUGAAUAAGGUCUUCGGAUUGUAAAGCACUUUAAGUUGGGAGGAAGGGCAGUAAGUUAAUACCUUGCUGUUUUGACGUUACCAACAGAAUAAGCACCGGCUAACUUCGUG